Long non-coding RNA from Myiozetetes cayanensis, 11945 nucleotides. RefSeq lists it as uncharacterized. The record is from RefSeq and is a predicted model, not a curated record. The transcript is spliced from 4 exons. Lineage: Eukaryota; Metazoa; Chordata; Aves; Passeriformes; Tyrannidae.
UGUUCCUCCAUUUAUUGUAAGCAGGUUAAUCAAGCAUGAAAGAUAAAACUCUUAUAUUAGCAUAAAAUAAAAAGGUAACUGAUCCAGUUAUGAGAAAUGUGACACAGAUAUUUUACAUUUAGGUUGUAGUAGAAGUGAACCAUUCAUAUUACAGAGAGAUCACACUUCACUUCUAGCAUUGCAGUAUAAGAAAAUAAAUCAAUGUCCAUCAGAAAUCCCGACAUCAACAGUCAACAGUGGUGUCAAGGGUUUGACAUACCGUGGGUAUGGGAUUAGUUUAGGUCAGGGAAAAGAAUAAGCAAUGUGGAGAUAUUCCCAAAAGUAUCCUCUGCAAUGAACAAACUUAUUUUAGUGAGAGAAACCACAGUCAGGAAGAAAGGAGUCAUCAUACUGAGUUUAAAAGGGAUGGAACUACAGCAAAAACUUCCAGGGAGUUUUACAGAGCAUUCUUGACUUAGUUAAUAGAAAUUAAUAAUCUGAAGCAUCCCAGAAUUACAUUUUAUAUGACUAUAUAAAUGUAUACAAAAUAGUGUAAAUCUGAUAGUGUACAUCUGGACAUUCCAUAUCCCUCUGAGUAUGUUCCCUAGUAUCCCAGCACUAGUAUGUGCCGGGAUGAGAACAGGGUUAAUAAAUGCUUUGUUUUACCCUUCUUCCAACAUCUUGCAAAUGAAUGCAAGAUCAAUGGUACUAUUACUGGUCUUUUUUCUGCAUCAAUAUAUUUCUGACAAUGUGUACUACGAGCAUAAGAGGAUGACUUGACCUCUUUAUUGUAGUGGGAUGUGGCAAUUAAUUUUUUAUUGAAAUUUCAAUUAGCUUUUCUGUUCCUAUAAUGUUUUACCUAAAUCCUCUUUUUAAGUUCUAACUGAGGUUACCAGAAAAGAUCAUCUAAGCAUGACUGUGUUAAAAAGUAGAGGUAAAGAAAACAAAUUAUUUCUAUUGUGUUCAAAAUUGAGGUCACUUUAGGUUAACUGAAUCAGAUUCCUUGAAGAGAUGAAGACUUUCCACAUCAUGAAGAAUCAUUCAGAGAAUUCUAAUUGAAAAAAGGAAGACACCAGCCUCUUAUAAAAAGAAUAAGAUACUAAGAUUAGUACAACUGAGCAAGAAAACCUGAAACAGAUUUUACAGACUGUUGCCUUUAUGACCCUUAUAAAAGAAGAAUUACCAAAUGAAAAACAAUGGAGAAACCCCUGCAGGUUACAACUUUACAUUAAGCUGUCUAGCAUCCUGGACCAACUAAAGAACAAAGGAAUUAAGUCUUAUAUUUAGAAUUCUUAUGCAUCUGAUAAUACUUAAAUGAUAGCAGAAGCGGUAAUGAAAAACUUAUGCCAAAAUAAAAAAUGUUGUUCACAGAGAAAAUUUAAACUUCAUUUGGCAGUGACUUCAAUUUCUAAGGUUAAGAUGACUUUUCCUUGAAAAACUGUUACUUUCUUUAUGUAUGACUUCCUGAAAAACAUAGUAGUUAACUGAAAUGUUCUAUUAUUAAUGAAAACUUAAAACACUGUUUUUCCAAUCUUUAGCCUGCAUCAUGCAGAAAAUGUAUUGCAAUGAGCAGCGAAGCUACUUUGAGGAAAUGUACAUAUCUUUAAUAUACGAAAUCUGAAGUUUAUUAUCCUUGUAUUGUAUAAGUGGUAAACCAGAAUUUACACUUAAAAUUAGCCUUACUCAGUACCAAAAGCUAUAUUCAAAAAUAUCACAUUAUUGCAGGGUCCUCUGUGAAAAUUUAUGUCAUUUGCCAAGCUUCUUCUCUGGGAUGUGAAUGCAUUUAGUGAAGAGAAGUUCAUAAAUUACACAGUAGUACCUUCCAUAAUAAAGCAACUCAUUCUUACUGUUCUAGCUAAGACGCCAAUAAACCAAUUUUCAGAAUGAUAAAGCCAAUAUAACUCAUAGGGCAUUUAACUCCAUCCAAGAAAGGAAGAAUAAAUAGAUGGGUACCUGUGCAUGUGCCUUUGUUGCAGAAAAGUGUUUAUCAAUUAUUUCAGUGGUAUUGAGUUCCUUUCAUGAAGUGCAGGGGAAAAUAAAAAAGAGGAGUUAUGGCCUAUUCCAUACUGAAAGGAGGCUUUAAAAAGACAUAACAGGAAGAAAUUAAUGUAAGCUUAGGGAUUCAGUGUCUACCCUCUGAUUGACAAUAUCCCCGGAGAUUGGCUGGAAUUUGAAGUCGAUAAAAAUGAAUGCAGGUCCUCCUGCUGGCCAUGCAGGUGGACACUCCAUACUUCCUGUGUUUCCAGUCAAGGCUAAUAAUGCUGAGCAAGGGAUAAAAUUGCUCCGUGGGUCUUGAAACAAAAAUCUGUACCUCCAGGAAAAAAAGUAUUUUCCUGAGUUCUUGUACGGCCUGUAGGGAUAUUACAGAGAGAGGAAAAAUGUCAACUGUCUCCACUUGUAAUCAAAGAUAGUUGCCAUAGUAAUGACACCUCAUUUUUGUGGUAAUGGAGGUUAGAGCCUGGUGUAGUCCCCUGCUAUCUCUUUUUCAAUGUCUCAUGGAGCUACUCUCUUAAGCUUUGCAGAUACAUACCUGGUAAUUUGAGUCAAUUUUUACUCUUUUUGUUCUUAAUCUUCUAAAAGAAAUUGGCUUAAAAUGCAUUGAUGAUACUGCUGCACAUCCAUACGUGAACAAAUCAAGAGAAUGAAAAAUUUCUCUAAGGAAACAUUGCACACAUGCAUUUUCUCACCUGUCUUUACUUAUCUGAAAGUAAUUAAAAUCUGUGAUUAUCCAAUGACAAUAGACUGAUAAAACAUAAGGACAGUUUUCUCUGUUCCUGUUGUUUUCCCAUAAACGUGUCUUAAAAACUUUACUGUUUAAAACUUGGAUUUAAAGGUAAAGGAAUGCAAAGAAUGUUUGCUUCUGGGACAGUGGAGGAAGGGGUUGCAGAAGUGCCUACAUGGAUAAUUGUUUAACCUAAAAUUAUUCUUGUACUCAGAGUACCUAAGAUUUUUUCUCUAAAAUUUUUAACCAUGUAAUUUCACAGUUUCUGGCUGUUGGUGUUCUAACUGUCUUUGGAAGGUAGAUGUUGAGUUUGUUUCUAUUCUCUGGAUGCUAAUAUUUUUUUUUUCCUCAAGUUUUGUAUUUUCUGAGUAUGCUGGAUUUUAGCAAUCUGUUCUUUAAAAGUCAGAGUUAAACUAUGAUUUCCUUUGGUGCCUUUCAGCUGUUUUCUGUAGUAAACAUUUACCACAGCUGUUUUCUUAAACAAAGGUCUAUGGUGGUUUUGCUGGUAUAGGCUUAGCCAUAUUCUUCAGCUACUCCACUGGAUCUUGGGUACUGUUUUUUAAUUUGCACCUGUAUGCAAGCCAAAUAGGAGAAACUCCAGGCCUUUGUAAAUUACUGGAAUUAUUCAGAUGUGUGUUGUUUUUCCUUUGUUGAAAUUAGGUCAUUUUGCUAUUCUAUCACAUAGCCAGCAUAUCUGGCAAGUGACGCUGCAGAGUAAUUCAGUGUAGUUUUAGCAAACAGAUUGCCCACUGAAGAAUCUCGAGAAUGCUAUGAAAGGAAAGAGUGUCUUCUGCGGUUAUUUUUUUGCAUGGUAUAUGCUAGAAUGAAUAUGUGAUUUAUUUAUUUAGAAUUUGUGGGUAAAUAUGUACUAAAAGCAGUUACUUGUUCCUUUUCACAAAAAGUAAAUCUUCCCAGUUAGCUGGUUGAGAUUUUUACUUCAUAAAGGAAGUUCUCCAAUAGUCAACCAAAAUUACUGGUUAUGUGAAUCUUCUAUAUUUCUCUCACUAUUUAUCUUAUAUUUGGAUGAUCCCAAAUACUUUUGCAUUAUGUUCUCCAACUCUUCUUUCCUGCUGCCAGGAAAGUGUGCAUGAAGAUCUGGAAUGAAUUCUCGAUCUGUUUUUCACUUCAGGUUGUCUUUUUUUACUUUAAGAUCAUAUAAUGAGACAUAUGUGCAAGAACUCUCCGAAAGGCUGGAGUUUUGUCAGAAAUGUUCUCCUGGGUUUGAAACCCAAUUAGGUUUAUGGGUGUAUAUAGUGAGAAGGAGAAAAAAAGAGGGAGAAAUGAAGUUUCUGACAUGUGUUAAGGAUUACCAUUCCUUAUCACCUGAAUAAAACUCAACAGGAGAGAUGAUGGGUUGGUGACAAUUUAUAUUAAAGACACUAUUGGUUGUUAAAGUCACUAAACUCUUAAAAUGUUUAUGGAUUAGACUCAGAGAAUAAAUAUGAGCAGACUUCUGUGUACUGCCAGCACUGUAAUAAAAAGCAGGAGUUUCAUCGGUCAUGCUAUAGUUUUUUAAGAUAGUUACCAUAAGCAGAAAGAGAAAUCAUCAGGAGAGAACACCAGGCUUCUUACUUUAUUAGAUCAUCACAGAUCUGUUUGUUGUGCAUUUGACAUUACCAAAGGUCAAAGUAGAUAUUACAGUAGCAUUAUCUCAUUCAAGUUUUUCCUGUCCUUGAUUACCAGCUACUUUUAAAAUGUUUCAAAGUGCUUUGUGCUGUUACUGUUAGAGAAACUGUACUUGUAUUAAUCUCUAUUUUCCAAGAAAGCAGAAAACAGAGGAACAGGUCAUUAUCAUGUGCCUGCUUUUAAGGAGAGGCAUACUGUAAUUUCUAAUUAAAAUAUCUAUGUUAGAAAAAAAGGAUAUGAGAUUUUUAAGCAAUCAAAAUAGCUAUAUACCCCAAAAACCUGAAAAAACCACAACCUCAGCUAGAACAUUUUUCCUUUUUAUAUCAAACAGAGUGUUACAAAUAUUUCAAAUCCAACCAGUUGUACAUCAGGCUGAAAAAAAUAUCAACUUCACUGCAGUUUGCAUCCCCCUUUCUUAAAAUUGUAUGCAAGGAAUAUGUCAUUGUUGUACUUUUAUGUACUGCUCUAGAAGCAUGAGUUUCUGUGUCUGUACAAAAUAGACCAACAUAAGCCUCCUGUUCUUAAAAUAUCCUGACACUUGGCUUGCUUAAAGAAGAGAUGACACAUGGUGUUAUCUGUUUAGUGAGUUUUUGUCUAUUGCUCUAUAAUUUAUAAGCUUUGUGGUUGACAUAUUUUCAACUAUCAUGCAGGAUUUACAGGUACUUAUAUUCAUGAGUAGGUCAUCAUGCACAAAAGAAAAUAUCUCUUUCAUCACGUGCAUGUUUUAUUACUGUCAGGAUAAGUUGAUCUUGUUGUUUAUCCACAGGCCAUUUUAUUUUGCUGUGAAAAUUGCUUUUGCACACAAAGGUGAGGACAACCUUUAUUUAAAUAAGUACCAGAGUCAAAACAUCUCAGUUGCAUGCCCCCAUUUUAUUAAGACAAAUGUCCUAUUCACUGUAAUACAAACAUUAUCCAUUAUAGUGUCUUUCUGUUUCCUGUCCUGGAGAGAUGAAGGUUAUUGUUUAUAAAGUAACAGACAAAAUACUUCUAUGUUUUCACCAUAUUGAAAAAGUGCAACUAUUACUGUAUCCUUCAAGACGUGAAUUCCCUCUCUCAUACUAUUUAGUUUGUACAAAUGCCUCUUUUUCCUUAGAGAUGUUUGAAUCGAACCACUUGCCCAUUAUGUUCUAUGUGGAUUUGGUUUAGGAUUACCAAAAUGUUGGGAAAAGUUUAGCCAUCCAAAAGAAGAAUUAUUUGGGGAAUUCUUCCAGAGAAAAAGAGUAUAAUGUUGCUGAUGGAUCCUGCUUUUUCUACGUGCAGCAGUGAAUGGCACCAUAACUCUCAGAACCAGAGACUGUGGAAGAUAUGGAAGGCAAGACUUCAAGCUUCUCCAGGCUUUGACUUCUGUCUGCCUGGUUGAGGACAGACUCCCUUCUUCAGAAUUGACAAGAAAUUCCAUCCUAUCCUAGCCAAUGCCCUGCAAUAAUUUCAUGCUUGAUUACCUUCCAGAAAGUGUUCUGAUAUUACUGCCAGGAGCAGUCUGAAGAGUAGCAAGACUACAGAGCCCUGGGACUCUGCUUCCAGUGGACCCCUACGUGCAUGGGAAUAAGCAGUGCUUGGGAACGUGCCACCAACAUGACCAGCUUCUUCUGUAGUAUCCCCAAAGGGAUCUUUUGCACCUGCUUAGGCACUCAGCAGCAAACUGAUGCUUUUCAUCCUGUCCUUUGUGCUCAGCAGUCUGAGCAACAUCAUUGCCUUCAUCUCCUAAACUUAUGGCCUUGCUGCCAUCAACUCUGCUGAUGGCUGGUUGAAAGCCUUCAGCACAUUUGCUUCCCACCUGACCACAGUCAGCCUGUUCUUCAGGACCAUUGUCUUUCUUCUGGCUCCCAUUUCUCAGUGAAGACAAAGUCCCCAGUGUGAUCUAUACCCUGGCGAUCCUAAUGCUGAACCCUUUGAUCUACAGCCUGAGAAACAUGAAGUAAAGGCUGUGCUCGGGAGGCUGACACACAAAAAUAACACCAGGAUAGAGCAAGACCUAGACACAAGACAGAGUUUGACUGAAGGCCAGCUCCUCACAGCUGUAUGAGCUAUUGCUUUACUCUGCCUUUGUGUUCUGCUUGCAGGAAAUUUAAUGGUGUUUUUCACUUUAAAUGGUAUGCCAGCCUCUCUAAAGGAGCAGCAUGGCACCACCUUUAAUCUUUCUCCUAGGGUGUGAGCUCAUGACUCUGCCUUUGAUAGCCAUCUCACUUCACAUGUCAACUCCUUAACUAGUACUCUCUACUUUAGGAUGAGUGACUUUUGGGGACACUUUAGAUAUUAACAUGCAGGUGAGACAAAUCCCUUUUGUUUUGCUCAAGAGCAGAGUUUUUUCUGCGUGCAUUACAGUGGGAUAGUUUUUUCUUCAAUAGUUGUUGCACUUAAUCUGGGUCAUUUUAUAUGACACUGGGAUGUAAUUAACUUUCCUCUUGAGGAAAAAAAGGGGGAAAAAAAGAAAAUAGAGGAGUAAUUGGUAAUGCUUUGUCUGGUUAUGAGAUAUCUCUGAGGACUUAUGGAACACCAGGGAUAGACUUAAAAAGCAGAAAUUGUCUAUUAUAGAUCUUUAAGAUGACAUAAACUGCUGGGCAAACUGCAGUGUGCCUUGCUUUCAUACAAACUGGAUAAAUUCCAGUAUUCUUACACCUGUAGGAUGACUCUUGUGUUGGAAUAAUACUGCAAACUAACAUAAACCAUGAAAUUAAUUUCCAGAGUCUGACUUUACCCAACACUCCCAUCCAUAUACAUACCUCCUGCAGUAAUUCUCCACAACAGCUUCAUACCAAUCUCCCAAGUCUUCAUGUACUCGAUAUCCCAGCCCACCAUAUCACACCAUAAUUUGAAUUGUUCCAACUUGGGCUCAUUUUCAAUACUUUUUUUCUGCCUCCAGUCCUGCUUCCUGGCCAGAUUGGCCUGAAGUUGGAUUGAGUAAAUGAUAAAUUACCAAGAGUCCUUUGCAAAACAAACAAGUCUACCCUCAGAAAAAGAAAACAAGAGAGAGCAAUUAGGAUUGACAUGUCUUUCUGGACUACAGUGACUCCUGGUGUAAAUAUCUCUUGAAUAGUAAUAGAAGUAGCUAACAUGCUAUCUAUAUCUCUCAACUCUGCCUAGAGUCACACUGUAGCCUACAGUGUGCCUGCUAGUGUCCCAGUUUGAGUUUUUUGUGUCAGCAAGAAAGCUCCCACUGAAUUUACUGAUGUGGAAAUAGGUCUGUAGCCCUUUAGGGACUAGAGGGACAAACACUGUCUAACCAAUUCCAUUUCAGAGGUUGAUAUGUGCUCCCACUCAGAUAAGAGAUGUGCUAGUUGGAGAUGUGUGUAACGUGCUGGACAAUUUAUUUUGUACUGUUAUGUACUAAGUUUCUGUGAACUGCAAAUCUAAAUCAAUUUCCUUUGAUCACCUUUCCAAAAUGCCUUGUGGGAGAAAUAAAUACCUAUGUGUUAAAAUUGCUACCCUGUGUGUAUAUUUCAUAUAUAGUAUUCUGAAAACUGUGGACUUGUCCUGCUCUGUUGUGCACUGGUGUGGCCUCACCUUGAAUCUUGUGUACAGUUUUGGGGACCACAACAUAAGAAAGAUAUUUUGCUAUGAGAGAGCAUCCAAAGGAGGGCAACCAAGAUGGUGCAGGGCCUUGAGGGGAAGCCAUAUGAGGAGUGACUGAGGUUACUUGGUCUGUUCAUCCUGAAGAGGAGACUGAGGGGAGACCUCAUUGUAGUCUACAACUUCCUCGUGAGGGGAAGAGGAGGUGCAGGCACUGAUCUCUUCUCUGUGGUGACCACUGACAGGGAAUGGCAUGAAGCUAUGUCACAGGAGGUUUAGGCUGGAUAUUAGAAAGAGGUUCUUCACCUAGAGGGUGGUUGACCACUGGAACAGGCUCCCCAGUGAAGUGGUCACAGCUGCAAACCUGAUAGAGUCCAGGAAGUGUUUGGACAAUACUCUUAGGCACAUGGUGUGACUCUUACUGAUGACCUUGUGUGAGGCCAGAAGUUACACUCAGUGAUCAUGAUCCUCGUGGGUCCCUUCCAACUCAGCAUUGUCUGUUGGGACGUUGAGUAUUCAUUUUGUGAAGGAAAGAAAUAACACUUUUUUUGUUAGUCCUUGGGAGACCUAGUUCCUGGAAUAGUCACACUUCUCUGUAACCGCAUGUAACUCAUCUCUAAAGAGUUCUGUGUACCUGAUAUUUAUCCACACAUAUUCAGUCAAAUACUUCGCUUACAUUGUCUCAUUAUGUUUGAAAGAAUUAAUCCCCCACUCUCCCUGUGCUCUCCAUAAUUGUUGUCUUCUCCUCUCUAUAUAAAUCUCAAAAUGGAUGUGAGUUAUCAGAGCAAAUGAUAUUUUGCAUUCAGUAUCAUAUUGCUAAUCCUAAAUACCAUUAGAGUUUGAGAUAGAAGUGAUUGCCUGUAUGAAUUGCUCUUUAGUAGGAUAACUUGCAAUAAUUUGACUAUAUCAGAACUGAAGUUUCUUUUCUGUUGAGAGAAUUGAAAAUCUCUGAAAAAAUUUAUGCCUAAUUUUAUAGUUGUAGAGUGAAUCUGAUCUUACUUUAUUUCUGGAAACAUUCAGAUUUGCAUUAAGAUGACCUAUCAGUAUAUGUAGAUUUAUAGUAUAAAGAUUACCUACUCUUAUGGUCUCAUAUAUUUUUACUCCAAGGUCUUAUAUGAAAUGUGUGUGGAAGUAAAGGUACUUUUGUUUAUGCUCUUAUUUGUUCCAAACUAUCAUUAAAAGGUUCAACUAAUGUGCUUUCUGUAUUGCUGUGUGGGAUUGUACAUGUUUAAUAAUCAAAAUUAUUCUGAAAUCCUACCUGAUAUAUAACAAUAUCAAUGAAGCUUGGUCUGUUAAACCUUAAUAGUUUUUGUUCACCUUCAGUAGUUAAUUUUUCAGAGCAGGCUCUCUGAUACAAGCUCUCACUAAAGAAGAAGGCUGCCUGAUCUACAAACAGAUUUCUGAUUCUUUCCUCAGUCAGGAUAUGCUAAUGCUUAUCCUGGCUGGAUGGCUACAGCCAUCUCCUUUUUAAUUUCUCCAAGCCCACUUUUCUAAAAUUUAGGAACAUUCCCAGUUUUAAAGAAAAGUAAAUACUUAUUCUAGGAGAGUUGAGUGCUUUCUUGGUUAAAUCUUUUCUCUCAUGGAUUUUCUUUGCUAUGCUGAGUAAAUCCCUUAAAUUAGUGCCCAAGGCAAGGGAGAAAAACAAGUGUUGUGUUUCUUUCCUCCUUGUGUUGGGCCGUGUGGUGGGGAUGUUGGAAAGCUUUUGCACUCAAAGGUGCACAAAGAAAAAACCUGCCUUUUUUCCUGAUGUUCCAGUCCCCAGUCUCACUGUUUCUUGUCUCAAAUAGAAAAUACAGGUAAUAGAGCCACUCCUCUACUAAAUAUUAUCAUUUUGAUAGUGAUAACACAAAACAAUGCAUACUUGAUAAGAAAACAAAUAAUUCAGGAUUCUUAGAAGACCUUAUUACAGUGUGGGAGGAACAUGAUGAAUGCGUGAGCAAUUUAUAUUGUGUGCUGUAGUUUUAUAAACUUUGUUUUUAUAUAGUUUUAUAGAUACUAUAAGUUCCAAGAUGGCUGUGGGUCUCUUUGCUAGAACAAAAGAAAAUCAGUGCCAAGAAGAAGGUGGAGUUUGAUAAAGUAAAUAGUUGUCUUGUUAGCUGUUAAUAACCAAUUAUAAAUGUAUUUGUAAUGUAUGUUUACAUCUGGACAGUAACUUGUAACCAAUUAUGUGCUUCUUGUCACGAGACUCUGUAUAGGGAUACUAUAAAAAGUCUGAACUCUACUAAUAAACCAGACAUAUUGUUAGAUCUCAUAAGUCAUGUACUUAUGUCUCGGAACCCCUUCACCAACAGCUACAGUUCUGAAAAUAGAGUAUAAGGUAUCAGAUAUUUCUUUUAACAAAUAAGCAGAAGAAAUACUUGCUAAAGUGUAUUUCUUAUGGAGGAAAACAACUGGUGUUCAUACAAGAACAAUACAGAAACAUAUCAAGUGCAUAUUUUGAAAUGCCAAUAUGUCUUGAUGUCUAGGAACUUCACUUUUUAAAGUAUUUAACUUUAUGUCUGUAAUUUACCCUCCAUGGCAAAUUACUUUGACUGUACUUUCAAUUUCUAUUGCAAUGAUAAGAAAAGAGAUUUAUAAUAAAGAAGUCAAUAUCAGUUUUUUCUUGCCAACUGUUGCAGUGCAUACAAAAUGAUCCGGGGAAAGAGGGAAUUGCAUCUUAUUCCUACCAAUUUUGAGGGACAAUACAGUAAACAUACAUAGGGGAAAGUAGACAAUCCCUUAGUCUUAGAGAUCUUGCAUACUUCUACCUCAAACUGUUUCCAGUCACUGUCUUCAUAAAGUGGAAUUUGUUUGAUUCUGUUAGAAUAGAAAGACUGAAAGUCAUAGAAAGGAACACAGCCUAUAUCGGUACUAAUCAGUAUUCAGAGGAGGGAAAUGGACUGUGAAAAGGAGAAAGAAAAUCAACCUGAAGCCAUAUUGUUGAUGGGAGGCCACCUUGACUCUCUGACAAGUAAAAAGGAAUCUUUGUGUGAUGUAAAAUCUCUUGAGAGUAUUUCUUCUGAAGCAGUGAAUUUGAGAAGAACGAGGAGACACCAGUCCAAAGAUCAAAUUGAAAAUGAAUUAUUCGUCUCCCUGCUUGUUAAAAUCUUAGUAUCAAUCACAGGUACGUAAUCUUUAGUUCUUGACUGGUUUGAUGAACUGUGAGGAAGCAAACCCUCUAACUCAUUUUUUGAAUUCUUUUGGUGGUUUUUUGACCAGGGGAAGAGAUGAGAAGGAAACACAAACAUAUUACAGGAUUUCUAAAUUUAUUUGAAGAUGGGUAAUACACUUUGCUCUUCAGCCCAUGUGGCACAAACCAAUGCCUUUCUCUAUUGAAGUGGAGGCUGAGGAAAUGUUGGGUGAAGGAGAGGCACCUAGAAAUAUGCAAACUCUAUCAUCUUAGAUUGUGUUAUGUUAUAAAAGACUUAGGAUCAAACUUAGACUUUAUUAGAUCUGAAAUUGAUCUCAGUGUCCUAAGCCAUUCCCUUGACAUUACAGAUAGUGGGUUUGAAACUUGCAACACCAAAGGAGUGGUCUAGGAGAUAGAAAAUUAUACAGUUUGCAAAACUAAGUGCACAGCAGUGAAUUCAGAAUCUAUCAACCUUCUUCUCACUAACCUUCUUUGAAUUUGACAGUCAACAUUAGUUUUCUUACCUCUGAUGGAAAGUGAUAGAUGUCUGUACAGAUAAAUAGACUACAUAUAGAUAUCUAAUAUGGAUACAUAGAUAUAAAUGUAUAUUUCAGGCUAAAACCCUACAGAUAGUUUUGAAAGUACAUGUUAGUACUUAAGGCUAAUAUUGGAUGAAAGUCAAGUCUUCCUCUACCUGAUAGCAGUUUGGGGUAUCCCUGAAUUUUGCUUCAUUGUAACAUCCCCACAGAGAAGUGCUGCUGCUGCAGAGUGAAUGCACAGGCAUGCAUAUAUCUUUCUAGCAUAUUUUACAAUGGUUUUGAUACAUCAGUUCUGUAGAAAUUUGAACUCUGGUAAUAAAACUGUAAUUCCUUCAAAUAAAAUAUUUAUUGACUCUUCCUGUGGUUCCUUCAUCUAUCCUUUUUUAGUUGUCUGAUUAUUUCUGUUUUAAAGACCAGCUUAGUAAUACAUACUCGUAAAGAAGAAUUAAUAGGAUAUAAG